CUGUGUGCUGCUUGUUGGCCUGUUUGGAAUUUCAGCCUGGAGGCCACUGUGGAAGGUUUCAUCCAAACUAUUCUCAAAGGUUAAAAGAUUUUAAACUUCAGUCCUUUCAUCACUUACUUGUUUUUCAGGCCAUUGAAAGCCUGGUAGAGGGUCACGUCAUUCCAUUCGAUGGUGGUGAUCUCGUUGUUGCGCAUCCCGGCGAAGGCGUAGAUCAGGUGAAAGGACGGAGGGCCAUGCUGAGUUUCCAAAUGAUGAAGAAACGAAAAAGGAACAAUAUGGGGGUCCCUGCCAAGAAGCAUACAUACCUAUCUCGGCUGUCAGCACAAGGAGCAGACCUUAAAGCAACAGAGAGAACAAUGAGCUGGAGGAACACGUCUGCGGACACAGCAGCCUUUCCACACGGUGCUUCACGCACAGUAGCAUGUUCCCUACGCUUCACUCUUCGAGUCCCUUUAACACCUCUGUACCCUCCAACCUUCUGAGGCCGAUAAAGUCCUAAGGUUUCUCCUAGAAGCCCACUCCCCUCUACUCCCACUCACAAGACCACUAAAGGGCCAUGAGCCUUGAGGCUUGGGGAAGGGAGGGGACCGCCGAGCAGUGGGAGACCUAUCACCAGGAAAGGAACAGUGUCCCUGUGCUUUCCCCAAAGCGAUCAUCUCUGGCGAUUGGGUUGAGUUCAAAGGUUUUAAAGGGGCAGAAAAGCAGGAGGGAGAGAGUGGCUCAAGGGCACAGAGUGGCGGUGGUUCCUUACCAGUGAGGAGGGUGAGCUUGGCCAUCUUGCCUCAGGGGUAGAAACUCCCUUGUUCAACCUGCCUUUUAUACCCCCCUCCUGUGACUUAUCAGUUUCUCAUUUGUCGUAAUUGCCUCCAAAGUCAAUGUUGGUAUUGGUAGUGCUCAUAAACCUCAAACCCGUUUAAGAACCCAUUAUUGACAGGGAAACCAUAUUAUCUUGAUUUUACUCUAUAAGAAGAAAGGAUUGGGCUCAAGCCCAGACACCAUACUAAUAAGCUCCAUUACGGAAUAGCUUACAUAAUUCAAAAUGGUUUUGUACAGUGGGCUACACUCUCUGUGUGGAGAGCGCUAAGAGGCUAUUUCACCCUCAUCUAUUGGUAGCAGAUGGUUUCCGCGGUCCUUUCCAGAAACAGGUUAACAUGCUCUCACUCUAUCUCUUUCCCCUGAUGCUAGAAUAUCUCACAGCCUUUUUAAAAAAUAGAAUAAAUGUCCAGAUACUCAAAUUUCCUAUGUACAGUUGUCUAGAAUGCAUUUGCCAGACUAGUCUGCACUCUGAAGAUGUUCCUUCCUUGUUUCCCUUUUCACAACUGUUAUUCUCCUCCAAACAGGAGAAGCAGGAUUUGAAAUGUGAGUCAAGGAGUGUAGAUUUAGCUCUUUCCCUCCAAUGAGGCAGCCAAUCGACAGAUGCAGAUCUUUGUGAAACACUGAUGGGCAAGAUCAUCGCCCUUGAGGUUGAACCCAGUGCCACCAUUGGGAAUGUUAACGCCCAGUUUCAAGACAAGGAGGGCACCCUGCCCAGCCAGCAGCAUCUGAUUCUUGUGAGUGAACAGCUAGAGGAUGGCCACACUCAGACUUUACCAUCCAGAAAAAAUUCACCCUGAACCUGGUGCUUUGCCUGCUAAGUGACAUUAGUGAGCCUUCCCUCCUCCAGCUCAUUCAGAAAUGCAACUUCCACAAAAAUGAUCUGUCCCAAGUGUUUCCCUUGCCUGCACGUCUGCGCCAUUAAAUGUUACAAUCCACCACCAACCUCCACCCUAAGAAGAAGGUCAAAUGCAUGCCCUCCAGCCCUGCAGGGUGGCCUCCUGCAUAAGCCCCAUGGGUGUGAGGUCUCAGUAAAGGUUCCCUUUAGUUAGUUGACUGGAGUAGUAAAAAAAAAAAAAA
Molecule: long non-coding RNA, 1893 nt
Organism: Myotis myotis
Lineage: Eukaryota; Metazoa; Chordata; Mammalia; Chiroptera; Vespertilionidae
Exons: 2
Source: RefSeq, a predicted model, not a curated record